GGCAUAGAUAAAUUUGUACUCUAAUUGAGGUAAAUUUAAGUUUUUAUUUUGUUACUUUUUUAUUAAGGGUAGAAUCAGAAUAUUUUUUUUAAACUAGCUUAAAUUAUAAAAUUUGACGAAUAAAUCAGAUUAGUACCUGAUUAAACAAAAUCUAAUAGAGCAGGAGUAAAGUUAAAUUUAAACUGUAAAAAUAUUGGCAGGUUUUUUAAAUUAUCUUUGGAGGUUGAAUAGUAAUUGAGAGCCCUCAUUCACUACUUUUAUUUUAGUGGCAUGUAUGAUCGUUUAUUUUAUUCUUAAAGAUUGUAAUCAAAGAUUUUUUUUUUCUAAAAAAACAGAUAUAUACCUGGUUUAUAUAAAAGUUUUUUUUGACCUACAGUAAACUAUUUUUUGGAAAAAUAUUUUAGUUAAUAUUUAGAAAUUGUAAAAGACAGUAAGUUAUUUUUAAUAUAUAACUGAAGAUUAUCUAAAAAC
This 471-nucleotide ribosomal RNA is filed under the name Cosmocercoides pulcher. RNAcentral's name for it is "partial 12S small subunit ribosomal RNA". Lineage: Eukaryota; Metazoa; Nematoda; Chromadorea; Rhabditida; Cosmocercidae. The record is from RNAcentral.